GAUGAACGCUGGCGGCGUGCCUAACACAUGCAAGUCGAGCGAAGCACUUUGCUUAGAUUCUUCGGAUGAAGAGGAUUGUGACUGAGCGGCGGACGGGUGAGUAACGCGUGGGUAACCUGCCUCAUACAGGGGGAUAACAGUUAGAAAUGACUGCUAAUACCGCAUAAGACCACAGCACCGCAUGGUGCGGGGGUAAAAACUCCGGUGGUAUGAGAUGGACCCGCGUCUGAUUAGCUAGUUGGUAAGGUAACGGCUUACCAAGGCGACGAUCAGUAGCCGACCUGAGAGGGUGACCGGCCACAUUGGGACUGAGACACGGCCCAAACUCCUACGGGAGGCAGCAGUGGGGAAUAUUGCACAAUGGGGGAAACCCUGAUGCAGCGACGCCGCGUGAGCGAAGAAGUAUUUCGGUAUGUAAAGCUCUAUCAGCAGGGAAGAAAAUGACG
Molecule: ribosomal RNA, 446 nt
Filed under: uncultured bacterium
Lineage: Bacteria
Description: bacterial SSU rRNA
Rfam family: Bacterial small subunit ribosomal RNA
Source: RNAcentral